AGGUAGUUGGUGGGGUAAUGGCCCACCAAGCCUGCGAUCGGUACGGGCAGUGGGAGCUGUAGCCCGGAGUUGGGGACUGAGACAAGGCCCCAGGCCCUACGGGGCGCAGCAGGCGCGAAACCUCUGCAAUGCGGGAAACCGUGACAGGGGGAUUCCAAGUGCUCAUGCAUUGCAUGGGCUGUUCUUUGGUCUAAGUAACCAGAGGAGUAAGGGCUGGGCAAGACCGGUGCCAACCGCCGCGGUAAUACCGGCAGCUCGAGUGGUAGCCGCGAUUAUUGGGCCUAAAACGUUCGUAGCCGGAUAAGUAAGUCUUUGGUUAAAUCCUACGACUUAACCGUGGGAAAUCUAGAGAUACUGCUUGUCUUGAGACCGGGAGAGGUUGGAGGUACUCCCAGGGUAGGGGUGAAAUCCUGUAAUCCUGGGGGGACCACCUGUGGCGAAGGCGUCCAACUGGAACGGCUCUGACGGUGAGGGACGAAACCUAGGGGAGCGAGCCGGAUUAGAUACCCGGGUAGUCCUAGGCGUAAAUGAUGCGAGUUAAGUGUGGGGGCAUCUACGAGAUGGCCCUGUGCUGUAGGGUAGCCGUUAAACUCGCUGCCUGGGGAGUACGGUCGCAAGGCUGAAACUUAAAGGAAUUGGCGGGGGAGCACCACAAGAGGUGGAGGCUGCGGUUCAAUUGGAUUCAACGCCGGG
RNAcentral lists this ribosomal RNA (693 nucleotides) under uncultured archaeon. RNAcentral describes it as "bacterial SSU rRNA". It matches the Rfam family "Archaeal small subunit ribosomal RNA", at positions 227 to 922 of the family's 1478-position model. The record is from RNAcentral.